Molecule: long non-coding RNA, 221 nt
Filed under: Phoenix dactylifera (date palm)
Lineage: Eukaryota; Viridiplantae; Streptophyta; Magnoliopsida; Arecales; Arecaceae
Description: long non-coding RNA (PDAC_LNC012865)
Source: RNAcentral
GACGCUACACGAAAGCGUUAGCAAAAACAGGAAAAGCGUCGAGAAAUCUCUAUUUCUACAAAAAAAAUAUAGUCUAUUCCGACGGUUAUAAGCAUCGUUGUAAAUAUUUUUUAAAAAAAAUUAUUUACAAAUCUCUGGGGCCUUGAGGACGGCUUAUAAGCCCUAAUCGUUGCCGAUGCUACAUGAAGAAGAAGAGGGAAGAGGCAACCUAGCCCUGAUCA